Molecule: non-coding RNA, 113 nt
Organism: Rhodofomes roseus
Lineage: Eukaryota; Fungi; Basidiomycota; Agaricomycetes; Polyporales; Fomitopsidaceae
Source: the annotation of a RefSeq genome assembly
GGACCCUUAGCUCAGCGGUAGAGCAUCUGAUUCCAGAGCGUCACGUGAUACACAUUAAGCGCCCGCUUAUCAGAAUCUCCAGAAGGUCGUCCGUUCAAUCCGGGCAGGGUUCA